This 2853-nucleotide long non-coding RNA is filed under the name Olea europaea subsp. europaea. The record is from RNAcentral. Lineage: Eukaryota; Viridiplantae; Streptophyta; Magnoliopsida; Lamiales; Oleaceae.
AAAAAAGAAAAAUGGAUGAAAACACAUGAAAGAGGCCCAAAUUAAAAACAACUCUUUCUUUUUACUCUGCUCAGAUUGAAGAAUUAGAAAAGCUCCAUCUGAAUCUCCUAUCCUCUUCCCCGAUUUCCAGCUUCAUACAAUCUUCAAAUCUAGGUAUGUCUUUCUUACUUUCCAGGUGGUUUUCCGAGCAUGUUUUCUUGUUUUGCCCCUCCUUUUUCCUUCAAUUUACAGCUCUGUUACCCUUUCCCAAUUUGUUGUUUGAUAGGCGCUAAUCAGUAAGCAAUCUCCCUGUUCUUGUUGUAAUCUUUCUCUUUUUUAUUAUUUCUUCUUUUUCGGUUAGAUGCAUAAAAUUGGAAAUUGAAUUUUUUUUAGUUGUUUCUCCAUUUUUUUAAAGCUGUUGUUUUUAAUUACAGACAAUAGAAAAAAUUUGGAAUUGAUUAUCUUCAUGGGUAUGUGAUGACUUAUGUUCAUCUAACUUCCAUUAUAUGAUUGCAUCUAUUUAUUUGUGAUAUAAGAAACGUGGGUUUUCUUUGUUUAGAUCAAAAAGCUUGAAAAUUGGUAAAGAAAAAGAUACUUGCAAUAUUUUGCUAUGAUGUGAGCUGUGUUUGAUUAGGGGCUUUUGAAUACGUCAUAGACUUAUGGAGCUACUUUUAUAGUCACUUGUGUGUAUAUGCCUAACUGAUUUUCAUGAUUUUGGGUUUUUGGAGGAGUAUAGGCCGAUUUAUUAUUAGGUCUUUGAUUUCGUGUAUAAGUCAUAUGCUUCAUUUGAUUCAGUGUAUAAUCACUUACUCCUAUAGAAGGUAUUGAUUAGAACCUGGAUAUUUAUAUCUCCUUAAAGAGGUAUAGUGAGCAAAAAAAUAACCAGGAUAGGCAGGGCAUUUUUAUUCUGUUUAAUCAAGAGAACACCCAAGAGGAGUUUCAAUCAUUAAGAGGAAGUCCAACUCGAGAAUGAAUUAUCCAAUCAUACUUCUAUGGUGAUUAACUAAUUAUAACAAGUUCUGGCAACUUAAAGACAAAAAUAGUGCGCUCUUCAUGAACUAACCGACCAAAAUUCCUUUUGUUAGAAAUAAGGUAGAUUUCUAUAGAAGACCCGAAACCCAAGAAUGAUCGCAACUUUUUCCAGUAUGCGUCAGAUAACUUGUAAGAUUUAGAAUUUCUCUGCCUCAAUGUAUUACGUCUUUUUCUCUGCUGUGCACCCACUCCAUUAUGUGUUACAAAACUAAAUAUAAUAUGCUUGCUAGGACUAACCUUAAUAAAAUUUGACUCCAAGACUCCCUCUUGCCACAGAUUCAGUUAAACAAAAUUGUUAAACUAUUGAGAGUCUAUACAUUCUUACAAGUGAGGAAAACUAUCACCGGAAACUCAGAUGCUUAUUGAGAUGUAUCUUAAUGAAUUGUCCAACUUUCAAGAUCGAUUUGUAGUUAUAAUCACGUCUAAUUUUGUUGAAUGAUGAUUUUUUUUUUCAAGGGAUUGAUAAUUUCGACUCGUUUGUAGUGGAGUUAUAUCUGCAGUGUAUCACAUUUUUUUAGUAUAAUUAUGGAGAAUUUUUUUCAGGGGGAGUGAAAGGUAUACAAAUGCAUAGUUGACACAAAAGCUCAUUAAUUCUGUUUGAUAGACUUGUGAAUUUCAUAUAGCUUUUAAUACAUUUAUAUGUCGCAAAUUUGUAUGAUACAAGUUUUUCCUCCAACUCAAUAUUGGUGGUUUAUUUGUUAAUUUGUUCAGCCAGGGAAGGGAUGGAACCAUCAAGUAUUGGGAUGUUGGAGAAAGGGGGGGGGGGGGGGAGGUUGUCCAUGUACUUAUCUAUCUCUAUAAUGCCGUUGUCCAUCUCAAGUUGGGAUGUGAGUUUGUGUUGUUUCAGUACAAUAUAUAGCCUGCUUAGAACCUGACUUUUGACAAUGCCUAUUAGAAAUAGUUAAUGGCUUCCUUCCUAUGUACACUGAGCUCUAGGUGCCAUGUACUUAAUGAAAAAAUAUUUUGUUUAUUGAACAUAAAUAUGUUAUAUUUGCAUAACACUACAAAAUUACCAAAUUUAUUCUAUGAAAAUAAAUUGUCGAAGAUAAGAAUUAUAAUUUAAUUUCAUCAUCCAAAGUUAAAAUAACUUGGAAAAUUGCAUCUAAUAAAAUAUACUACAGUAUAGCUUCGGGAAAAAAAGGUUACCCAUAAUCAUUAUUAUGCCCUUGUUUGAGCCCCAUUCUUAUCAAAAAAUAUGAGAAAUGUGUGGUUAAAAAAUCAUGUUUUUAUGUAUAAUAUUAUUUUAUUGAAAAAUGUGUGGUUGAAGUGAGAUCAAAUCAAUAUUUGAGAAUGUAUUUUGAUGGGAAAAAUGAGGUAUAUGGUAACUGUGUGACAUGGACUGAAGUUGAUGCUAGUAAUUUUUUAAUCUUUAAGUUAUAGAAUCUGUUUCACAGUGUGGUGAUAGAAGCAAAAAUACUUCGGUGGCCCUGAAUUUCUUCAAAUGGCAAAUCUCCAUGAGAAGAUCAAAUUUGCACAACCAGAUUGUGAAUGGAAAACACAAGUUAUGGAUCCACGACAUGUUUUCUACACAUUCUUUUGCAUCAGAAUAGAGGGAAUGUUAACAUCACAAAAAAAAAAUAAAAAUAAAAAAAAAAUAAAAAAAAAGGAAUAGAGGUGAUGUUAUUUUUUUGGAUAUGAUACUUGAUUGUAAGUAUAAUAGCAUCAAAUGUGUUAUUUGUAUCAAAAGGACUAUAGGCUUUUGAAGUAAUUUGUACGCUUGAUGUUUUAAUUAAGACAUUUUACAUUUCAUCAACAUGUUUCACGUUAUUGAAUUUCGAUUUAUGUUUCUAUUUUGGUUUGGUCAUUCUGUAUUUAUGCACGAUUAAAAACUAUCACCCGACU